Molecule: small nucleolar RNA, 67 nt
Organism: Suncus etruscus (white-toothed pygmy shrew)
Lineage: Eukaryota; Metazoa; Chordata; Mammalia; Eulipotyphla; Soricidae
Product: small nucleolar RNA SNORD104
Exons: 1
Source: RefSeq, a predicted model, not a curated record
GUGGUAAUGACAUUCCAAUCAAAGCACGUUAGACUGCUGAUGCUGGUGAUGUGAACAUAAAUCUGAC